GACAGAGGUGCCGAGCGUUAGGCGGAAUCACUGGGCUUAAAGCGUGUGUAGGCGGGCGAUCAAGUACCUUGUGAAAUCCCACGGCUCAACCGUGGAACCGCUGGGUAUACUGGUUGUCUUGAGCCGGCUAGGGGCGAGCGGAACAGACGGUGGAGCGGUGAAAUGCGUAGAUAUCGUCUGGAACGCCGAAGGUGAAAACAGCUCGCUGGGGCCGCGCUGACGCUGAGACGCGAAAGCGUGGGUAGCAAACAGG
This 253-nucleotide ribosomal RNA is filed under the name uncultured bacterium. RNAcentral's name for it is "partial 16S ribosomal RNA". It matches the Rfam family "Bacterial small subunit ribosomal RNA", at positions 524 to 776 of the family's 1533-position model. The record is from RNAcentral.